RNAcentral lists this ribosomal RNA (439 nucleotides) under uncultured bacterium. Its description in RNAcentral is "partial 16S ribosomal RNA". It matches the Rfam family "Bacterial small subunit ribosomal RNA", at positions 338 to 795 of the family's 1533-position model. The record is from RNAcentral.
CCUACGGGAGGCAGCAGUAGGGAAUAUUGCUCAAUGGGGGAAACCCUGAAGCAGCAACGCCGCGUGGAGGAUGAAGGUUUUCGGAUUGUAAACCACUGUCCCCAGGGACGAAAAUGACGGUACCUGGGGAGGAAGCUCCGGCUAACUACGUGCCAGCAGCCGCGGUAAUACGUAGGGAGCAAGCGUUGUCCGGAAUUACUGGGUGUAAAGGGAGCGUAGGCGGGGAUGCAAGUUGGGUGUCAAAACUACCGGCUCAACCGAUAGUCGCACUCAAAACUGCAGCUCUUGAGUGAAGUAGAGGCAGGCGGAAGUCCUAGUGUAGCGGUGAAAUGCGUAGAUAUUAGGAGGAACACCAGUGGCGAAGGCGGCCUGCUGGGCUUUUACUGACGCUGAGGCUCGAAAGUGUGGGGAGCAAACAGGAUUAGAUACCCCAGUAGUC